GUCAUGGGGGAGGUGGUGGCGCUUGGUGGCUACUGGCGGCCGAGGUAGAGGCAGUGGCGCUGGAGUUGGUUGGGGGCAGCGUCAGAUUUGGAGCUUCAGCAACUUCUUCCAGGGAGGAGGUCCGGUGUGGCUCCUGUUCCAACCUGCGAUCUUGAUUCACAUCCAUAGAUUGGAAUAUUGGUGCACACGCCAUCCUCAGACACCUCACUAAGGACAGAGUAUGAUGCUGAAAAUAAGAUGCCUAAACAGGAAGAGGAGAAAUAGAUUUUGAACUUUCUUUUGUAUCAAUGAAGCAGCAAACUGAAAAAUGGAGACAAAAAUUUAUAAACAAGGUACAAAAUAAG
This 344-nucleotide long non-coding RNA is filed under the name Neogale vison (American mink). RNAcentral's name for it is "Neovison vison (American mink) lncRNA (ENSNVIG00000008593.1)". The record is from RNAcentral. Lineage: Eukaryota; Metazoa; Chordata; Mammalia; Carnivora; Mustelidae.